GUUUCAGCAGCCGCGGUAAUACAGAGGGGGCGAGCGUUAUUCGGAAUCAUUGGGCGUAAAGGGCGCGUAGGCGGCCGAGCAAGUCUUGGGUGAAAUCCCUCGGCUUAACCGAGGAACUGCCCUGGAAACUGCUCGGCUUGAGGCCGGGAGAGGGUGGUGGAAUUCCCAGUGUAGCGGUGAAAUGCGUAGAUACUGGGAGGAACACCAGUGGCGAAGGCGGCCACCUGGACCGGUCCUGACGCUGAGGCGCGAAAGCGUGGGGAGCAAACAGGAUUAGAAACCCUCGUAGUCC
Molecule: ribosomal RNA, 292 nt
Filed under: uncultured bacterium
Lineage: Bacteria
Description: partial 16S ribosomal RNA
Rfam family: Bacterial small subunit ribosomal RNA
Source: RNAcentral